UGCCCUUGAAGGAGGAGGCAAGGAGAUUCCAGGGGAGGGAACAGUAUUUGCAGAGCCAGGGAAGCAUGAAGGAGUGGGCCAGGGUGUUUACCGAGGGAGGAGGGGCAAGGUGGGAAUCAGGUUCAACCCCCACCCCAGAGCAGUCCCCACCCUGUUUCGACUUCCCUUGUCUCCGAACCCAGACUUCCCUGGUCGCCUUACCCACUUUUGUUUCGGGAAACAGAUCCCUCCUUCAUGACUGCCUCGUGCCCUGUCUCUUCUCUCCUUCCUCUUGAGUCCACCCUCCUCCUCCAGGCUCCUGGAAUUUGCUGGACACCUGACAAAGCCUGGGAGGCAGGUUGGGAGAAUUUCAGGAGAUUAAAUGUGAUGGGAUGCGGGAAGGCACCAGGCAUGGCCUGAGGCUGCGAAGGAAUUCCCUCCCGAGGGUCCCAGCCUGGACACCAGAACCCUUUUCUCACUCUCACUGACAUAGCCUGGGCCCGCUUUCUUGGGGGUCUCCCCAUGGCUGUUCUUCUUCUCACAGCACCGAGGCCCCUCGCUGCCACCAGCUCCCCCAUAAGACCAUGGGCUUCCUGUAACUGGGGGCUGUGCCUCCCUCUUCCACCACCGUCGUGGUUGCCAACACCAUUCGGGGAAUAAACCUCAACUCACUCUCUGAGAUACAGAUUUCCCCGGGUGUCCUGUGUUUUUUGUUUUCUCCUCUCCCCCUGGGUGUCCCAUAGUUUUGUGCACUAAAUUUGGCAACACUAACUAACUGCCGUACCCCUGGGGCCCAGC
Long non-coding RNA from Mustela lutreola (European mink), 777 nucleotides. RefSeq lists it as uncharacterized. Lineage: Eukaryota; Metazoa; Chordata; Mammalia; Carnivora; Mustelidae. The transcript has 3 exons. The record is from RefSeq and is a predicted model, not a curated record.